UUUUCGGUGACGAAAGGGUCUGAAGGAAGCUGAUGGCGGUUGCUGGAACGGAACGCAAGUGAACCAAAGCUGGCACAUAUGGUGGAUAACCCUUCACAAAGUGGGAACGUCCUAAAAUUAGCUUAGCCAUAUGUGUUAAGAUGGUCGUUUAAGUAACAGGUGGAGCAAC
RNAcentral lists this non-coding RNA (169 nucleotides) under Natronincola ferrireducens. Lineage: Bacteria; Bacillati; Bacillota; Clostridia; Peptostreptococcales; Natronincolaceae. The record is from RNAcentral.